UACCUGCGGCGGCGUCCCCCUCCUCUUCUUCUUAAACAGUGGAUGCGGGUUUAGCUCCGCAUGAAGUUGUUGUACCGUGACCUCCCGGGCAGGCGCGUCCUGGCGUACCUGCCGUAGCAGAGGGUUUAGUAGAGGGAGGAGGGGCGCGGGAAGCAGGGGCGCGGGCUGCGGCUGCGGCUGCUCAGGAGGCUGAGGCUGCUGCUGGUGAAGAGGGAGUGGAGGAGGCUGAGGCUCCUGCGGCGGGGGCGGCGGCGGCUGGCCGGGCGGCACGUCCCGCCGCUGCCGGUCCUGGUGUAGUCGGCGGAGGGCCUGCUGGACGAGACGUUGUAGUAGAGGGCGGAGGGGUGGUUCCUUCGGCGCGCGUGGUACCAUGAGAGGUGGGCGACCGCGACGCACACCCGCCGCUGGGGCGAGGAGCAGCUGCUGCGGGUGGAGUCCCGGCGGCUGCCCGGGGCGCUAAAGGUGCGGCACGCACGGCAGAGCGCGACGCACCGGCGAGUGGGGCCGGGGCAGGCACGGCACGCGAAGUAGGCGUGGAGGAAAGUGGCCGUCCUCGUGCGUGAGCUCGCGGACUAGCGGUCGGAGCGGCGGUUCUUCUAGGUCCUGGAGUAGGAGAAGUUGGCGGGGACCGGCGAGCUGUACGGCGAGGGGCUGUCGUAGGAGCUGACACGGAGGGAGUGGGCGGAGAUGUAUCCGCAGACCGCGACCGUGAAGGGUCUGUGGUGGUGGGAGGCCGGUCGGAAGGGGUUGGAGCUUCUCGAGCCGGAAAAGGUGAGGUAGUACCUCCUGUCUCUUCAGCUACGGAACGAGCGCGUGACGGGGUUCGACUUUUAGGAGAGGCAGCGGUAGCGCAUGUAAUCGGCAAGCUAGGAGGCGUAGUUCAGGUCGUCGGAGGCGCGGCACUACCUUACCCCUACGUCGAAGCUACUUUAGUAACACCUCCUACGGGGGACGGACCUCGCGGACGAGAAGGUUUCGUAAAAGCUGGCCUCCGGGCAGUUCUAACAGGUGCGGGGAUCCGACCUCCACGAGCCGAUGAACCUGGAAGUUGAGGUGCGAGAGCUCUAACCACCGUAACAGUAGUCCCGACCCUACUCACACUCUCGAUCGCGGUACGACGGUUCAAACUUCUAUAAUCGACAGUUCCACACUGAAAGCGUGCUGUACCUCCAGUUCUACGACGUGUGGGACGAGUCUACGAAAGGAGCGGAGCUCUGUGAAGUGUAGUACAGGUAAGUUAGGUGAAGUGGACUACCACAUGUAAGACGACUCAAGACCCUCAGAGUCUCGAGAACGCUAACGGAGCUUAGUGUAGACUUCUGCGAGCAGGAGGUGCCUAAGGUCCCGGACUUGACACUCGACAACAAGGAGCCAAUGUAGAACUUCUUACCCUUCCACGAAUUCUGCGACCCUUACCAAACAUCUCUGUCACUACUACACCAUAGCCUCCGUCCGGCCUACAGUACAAGACAACCGCUCCCGUUACGCGGUAGUCCACCUUCAUCACCGUCACUACUACACCAUCACCUCCCUCCGGGACAGAGUCCAAGACGACCACUCCCGUUACACAGUAGUCCACCUUCGUGACCGUCGGUACUACACCAUUACCUCCCUCCAGGGCACAGUCCAAGGCAAUCACUCCCGCUACGCGGUAGUCCGCCUCCGUGACCGUCACUACAGUAAAUGCAAACGGGGCGGAGGGGAUCGACCUCGAAAGUCUUGCGGUAACUGAACAGUCACCUCCUAGGGAAGACACACAACUCCGCACGGUCCCGGACCUCCCGAAGAGCUCGACUCCGUACUCAUCAAAAACAAAAAGUACGACUACCAUAAAGCGUAGCUGUACAAAUGAAACUCGACGAUUCCCAAACCAUGAAAUGAAUAAUCAAGACGUGAAGACGUAUUAAAACGCCACUUAACGCUUCCAUCUUACUCCGGUACUACCAGACCUUCGAUCAAAAUGAUCAUACAUACAACGUGAGAAAGAACUCAAGAGAUAACCCCUUCUGACUACACUAAGACUCCACACCUUCAUGGG
Molecule: ribosomal RNA, 2038 nt
Filed under: Triticum aestivum (bread wheat)
Lineage: Eukaryota; Viridiplantae; Streptophyta; Magnoliopsida; Poales; Poaceae
Description: partial small subunit ribosomal RNA
Source: RNAcentral